Molecule: ribosomal RNA, 443 nt
Filed under: uncultured bacterium
Lineage: Bacteria
Description: partial 16S ribosomal RNA
Rfam family: Bacterial small subunit ribosomal RNA
Source: RNAcentral
CCUACGGGGGGCAGCAGUGGGGAAUAUUGGGCAAUGGGCGCAAGCCUGACCCAGCAACGCCGCGUGAAGGAAGAAGGCUUUCGGGGUGUAAACUUCUUUUGUCAGGGACGAAGCAAGUGACGGUACCGGACGAAUAAGCCACGGCUAACGACGUGCCAGCAGCCGCGGUAAUACGUAGGUGGCAAGCGUUAUCCGGAUUGAUUGGGUGUAAAGGGCGGGGAGGCGGGAAGGCAAGUCAGAUGUGAAAACUAGGGGCUCAACCCAUAGCCUGCAUUUGAAACUGUAUUUCUUGAGUGCUGGAGAGGCGAUCGGAAUUCCGUGUGUAGCGGUGAAAUGCGUAGAUAUACGGAGGAACACCAGUGGCGAAGGCGGCUUGCUGGACAGUAACUGACGCUGAGGCGCGAACGCGUGGGGAGCAAACAGGAUUAGAUACCCGAGUAGUC